GUCAGAUUACAAAUUCUGGAAUAAAAAGUCGUAAAAUUUUGAUCCGUCAUUAUAGGUAAAGUUAGUUUUAGUGUUUCCUGCACGGCAAAAAGUCUCAUGCCUAGGAAAAACUGAAGUCUAGCUGACUAAAAAGAAAUAAAAGCAAAUUUCCGGCAACUCUUAUACGUCACUUUUAGAAGUACGUAUAAUUGAGUUUUAAUAUUUUAUAACUUCGUUAUUUGAUACCUUGAUAAAAUGAACCAACUCUUGAUUAGGACUUACGAAAAUAGUUUUUUUCAUCGGGUUUCUAAAAGUGUUCCCAUCUGCGAUGCUUUAAAAAAUUUCAGAUCCAUUAUACUCUUAUGCUGAUUGUAAAAUGAUGAAUAUUUAAUUGAGCAAACUGUGUUUUUGUAUCGAUGGAAUUUUUUCCAAAUUGCUUUUAUUUUAUUUUUAUAAGGCUGUCGUUUUAUCUUUAAUGACAAUUUGCUUUCAAAAAUUAUCAUUUAUGUUUAAAAGCGGAACGCAUUUCUUUGUUCAAAAAUCUUGGGGCAUUUCCAAAAGCCACAAAAAAUUCAAUUUAAUUCGUUUCACUUCAAUAAAAUAUAUUGAAAAAGGCAACAAAAACGCAAAAUGGUAGUUUAUUCCAACUAAAAAAAAUGUUUCCUUUCCAACAAAAUCACAUUUUAUUCCAUUCACAAUUUAUUAACAGUUUCUAUCAAGUUUUGUAAAAAGCUCUCUUGUCAGUUUUCAAGCUGAGCUAGUCUGAAUAUAUAAAAUCGCAUUUUCUUAUAAAUCUUCAAAAUUCUGAAGCCUUGUUUUUAUGAAUACAUUUAAUCAAUUUUGAAGUUGAUUUCUCUUGAUUUGAGAUCCAAAGCAGCCUUUUACGCUGAUUUGAGUACUAAUUAAGCCUGUCUGUUUCCCCUCCUAACAGGUAACGCUGUUAACUUGAGAGUUAUUGCACCGCAAGUCGGAAAUUAGUCCAACGUAACGGGGGAAUUAAGGGUCUUUGGAGGGGUAAGGGGUGCUUUUUUCGAAGGUAACUGAAGAAACGGGAUAUCCUUAAACGGGUAAAAUGAGGGAAAUUAAUUUCCGUGACUUUCCAAUUUUCCUCAAUUUUUGAGAUUUUUUUUCCUUUUCGGGACGCUAAGAAACUCCUGUGGUGAUCUUAGUGUUUAGCAGAGAGUCAAACCUUGUCUACGCAUCCCAUUUUCAAAAAAUUGCCUCGAGGAAAAAGAAGGGGCUAAAUGGUAUAAGAUCUUGUUUUCCCACCGCGUUAAUUGGCUUGCUUUGUUCGUUUCCCAGUUAAUUUUGUCUUUCAUGACACUAUUUGGUCUCUAGCAGAAAAUGUCGUCUCUUCAAGACGCCUGCUGUGAACACAAAGGAUGCUCUAUGUCACUUACAAUUUUCUCCGUUCCAAAAAACACCGAAAUAAUUAAUUCCUCGCUCCUUUUUCAAAAUUGUUCCCUCCCUCCCUUAAGUUCAGAAACAUUCGCAAUUAUUGCAUCUUUUUCACCACUUCAUAAGAAAGGUAGCGGCAAAAAACGCUGAUUGCGCGUUGCACCUCUAAAUUUAACCCCACUCUAAAUUUACUCUUUUUGCCCCUCCCUCAUUUUGUAUGAUUUUUCUUAGGAUGAAAUUUUCAAGUAUAACUGGGCAAACACCACGGUGGAAUGUGUCAAAGUUAGCCUUUAUUUUCCAUCAAUACUUCAAUAUUUUAUCCUCCUAGGCUUGGUACGUUUGCAUAAACAGUGUAAAAAUUUGGUGCAUUUUAGAAAAUACAAUCGAAUUUACGCCCGCCGUACACUUGUUUUACAAGCUAUGACAAGGAUUAAUCUUUUUCUUACAUUCGACUCCCAGCAUCCAAGUGUAGGAAUUUAAACAGGAUUCAACAAUAGAAAGUUAAAGAACUAAAUUUACACGGGUUCGAUUAUUCAAAAAACGUGAAAUUCUAGUUAAAUGGGUUGAUCCCUGAAUAGUAACAAAGUACGAAACUCAAUCAAAACGAUCAUGGUCGACGUAUUUACGGUUAUUCAAGUUGUCGCCAAUAUUUUCGUCCCAAACGACAAAAAAUGUUCCCCGUGCGAAGUUCCAUCCCUGAAAAAGUUCAAUUGCGAUUGCACAACAACAACUAUAAAUUGUGAAAACCGACGAAUAACUUCUCUUCCUACCCUCGAAGACGGUUGCAUCUUCAAAGGCACUACCGAAAUCAGUUUCGCCAACAACGAAAUAUCAAAAAUUAAUCACGACGCUUUCAAAGGACUACAAGUCAAGGGGUCGAGUUCGGGCCAGUUGCGACUCGAUUUGUCAUCCAAUAGAAUUUCAUCAAUAGACGAAGAGAGUCUGAACAGCUUAUCCAAGUUCACGAGCAUUGAUUUGAGUAACAACAAGCUUCAUUCUUCAUCAUUUAAAGGUGACUAUUCACGACUUAAAGCAUUGCAGGAGUUUGAUUUGGGCAGAAACUCUUUAGACAACGUUCCGGGUCAAUUUUGCCAGAUACCUCAUCUUCAGUCGAUUCACGUUGAUGGGAAUCCGGGAAGAGCUUUUCAGGAUACCUCGAGUUGGCGUGAACUUCCCGAAGAUUUUUGGGACAAAACUUGCCUAUCAUCUUCAAUCAAAAUUUCUCCAAUUCCAAUUUUAACACUCAUUAUUUCAUUACUUAUCAGUUGCUAUUUAGAGAUACUUGUAAUUAAAAAUCUAUAGACAUAUUUAAAUUUUAAUUUCGUAUCGGUUCUAUCUAUUUUGUUGUUUCAAAAAUUUUAUAUUUAAA
This is a long non-coding RNA of Symsagittifera roscoffensis, 2746 nucleotides long. RefSeq lists it as uncharacterized. Lineage: Eukaryota; Metazoa; Xenacoelomorpha; Acoela; Convolutidae. The record is from RefSeq and is a predicted model, not a curated record. The transcript is spliced from 3 exons.